CAAUGCAGUAGAAUCUUACAGUGUAUACCUUCAAAUAUUUGAAGAUCUCUCAACCAGGACUCUGUUGUUAAAAAACUGAAGAGAUGUUCCUCAUGGCCACUUCUAAGACAAAGCAGUUUUGCCUUCAGUGAGGCUCAGUCUCAAACACCCAGCACUGGGUCAACUGCUCUGCAGUCCUUAGCUUCAGGCAAUUCAGAUGCAGUAAAUCAGUUGGCAAAUGACACGGAAAAGAUGAAAAUAAAGGAUCUAGUUGACAGAUCAUCAGUCUCUCACAGGCUGACAGCAAACCAAGAUCCUUGUCCAUACAGAGGUUUGCUCAAUCUAGGUGCAACGUGCUAUCUGAAUGCAACCUUGCAGGUGCUCUUCAUGACCCAAGCGUUCAGAGAGAGAGUGCUGCUGCUGUUGGUUUCAUCUUCUUGUCUUUUUCAUGUGUCUAAUGAAAAAUCGUGCUGAAAUGAAAAACAGUUGUUGUCUAUUCUUUUAGAACUCCUGGUGACACAAGUGAGAAAUUAGAGUCAGCAUUAAAGGAACUAUUUAAAGAGCUCAGCAAUCAGGUCAGGGGUGCUCAGAGCAUCUCAACGGAAGGAAUAAUCAAGGCUCUCGGUAUACAGAGAAGUACGUUUAUGAUGGGCGCAAUUGAAUGAAAUCCUUCAUUGUAACCGCACUGUUUGUGUGUAUGAAGUGUGUUGUAUUUUCACUUUAAUUUCAGUAUAUGAGCAGCAGGAUGCUGUGGAAUACUUCCUAGAUAUCCUAGAGAAAGUAGGCCCUGAUUUGGCCGAGGUAGCUUAUUUCUUUUCAAUAUGUAACAAUGCAGAAAAAUAACAGAACGUUUGCUUGUUAAACAGUGAAGAAGGUCCUGUGCAGUGUUUGCUCUGUGACUCUUUUAACUGA
RNAcentral lists this long non-coding RNA (891 nucleotides) under Sinocyclocheilus anshuiensis. RNAcentral's name for it is "lncRNA (ENSSANG00000013081.1)". The record is from RNAcentral. Lineage: Eukaryota; Metazoa; Chordata; Actinopteri; Cypriniformes; Cyprinidae.